Molecule: ribosomal RNA, 468 nt
Filed under: uncultured bacterium
Lineage: Bacteria
Description: partial 16S ribosomal RNA
Rfam family: Bacterial small subunit ribosomal RNA
Source: RNAcentral
GACGAACGCUGGCGGCGUGCUUAACACAUGCCAGUCGAACGGAAAGGCCCCGCUUUUGUGGGGUGCUCGAGUGGCGAACGGGUGAGUAACACGUGAGUAACCUGCCCUUGACUUUGGGAUAACUUCAGGAAACUGGGGCUAAUACCGGAUAGGAGCUCCUGCUGCAUGGUGGGGGUUGGAAAGUUUCGGCGGUUGGGGAUGGACUCGCGGCUUAUCAGCUUGUUGGUGGGGUAGUGGCUUACCAAGGCUUUGACGGGUAGCCGGCCUGAGAGGGUGACCGGCCACAUUGGGACUGAGAUACGGCCCAGACUCCUACGGGAGGCAGCAGUGGGGAAUAUUGCACAAUGGGCGGAAGCCUGAUGCAGCAACGCCGCGUGCGGGAUGACGGCCUUCGGGUUGUAAACCGCUUUCGCCUGUGACGAAGCGUGAGUGACGGUAAUGGGUAAAGAAGCACCGGCUAACUACGUG